GUCCAAGACCAUACCACCCUGAAUGUAUCCUAUUUGGUCUGAUCUUGGAAACUAAGCAGGGCUAGGCCUGCUUAGUUUUUGCAUUUAGUCUUUGCAU
This 97-nucleotide ribosomal RNA is filed under the name Jaculus jaculus (lesser Egyptian jerboa). Lineage: Eukaryota; Metazoa; Chordata; Mammalia; Rodentia; Dipodidae. The record is from RNAcentral.